GUGGGGAAUAUUGGACAAUGGGGGGAACCCUGAUCCAGCCAUGCCGCGUGUGUGAAGAAGGCCUUUUGGUUGUAAAGCACUUUAAGCGAGGAGGAGGCUACCGAGAUUAAUACUCUUGGAUAGUGGACGUUACUCGCAGAAUAAGCACCGGCUAACUCUGUGCCAGCAGCCGCGGUAAUACAGAGGGUGCAAGCGUUAAUCGGAUUUACUGGGCGUAAAGCGCGCGUAGGUGGCCAAUUAAGUCAAAUGUGAAAUCCCCGAGCUUAACUUGGGAAUUGCAUUCGAUACUGGUUGGCUAGAGUAUGGGAGAGGAUGGUAGAAUUCCAGGUGUAGCGGUGAAAUGCGUAGAGAGCUGGAGGAAUACCGAUGGCGAAGGCAGCCAUCUGGCCUAAUACUGACACUGAGGUGCGAAAGCAUGGGGAGCAAACAGGAUUAGAAACCCCAGUAGUCC
This 451-nucleotide ribosomal RNA is filed under the name uncultured bacterium. Its description in RNAcentral is "partial 16S ribosomal RNA". It matches the Rfam family "Bacterial small subunit ribosomal RNA", at positions 354 to 796 of the family's 1533-position model. The record is from RNAcentral.